GAUGAACGCUGGCGGCGUGCUUAACACAUGCAAGUCGAACGAUGAAGCCCAGCUUGCUGGGUGGAUUAGUGGCGAACGGGUGAGUAACACGUGAGUAACCUGCCCUUAACUCUGGGAUAAGCCUGGGAAACUGGGUCUAAUACCGGAUAGGAGCGUCCACCGCAUGGUGGGUGUUGGAAAGAUUUAUCGGUUUUGGAUGGACUCGCGGCCUAUCAGCUUGUUGGUGAGGUAAUGGCCCACCAAGGCGACGACGGGUAGCCGGCCUGAGAGGGUGACCGGCCACACUGGGACUGAGACACGGCCCAGACUCCUACGGGAGGCAGCAGUGGGGAAUAUUGCACAAUGGGCGCAAGCCUGAUGCAGCGACGCCGCGUGAGGGAUGACGGCCUUCGGGUUGUAAACCUCUUUCAGUAGGGAAGAAGCGAAAGUGACGGUACCUGCAGAAGAAGCACCGGCUAACUACGUG
Molecule: ribosomal RNA, 466 nt
Filed under: uncultured bacterium
Lineage: Bacteria
Description: partial 16S ribosomal RNA
Rfam family: Bacterial small subunit ribosomal RNA
Source: RNAcentral